Molecule: ribosomal RNA, 601 nt
Filed under: uncultured Alphaproteobacteria bacterium
Lineage: Bacteria; Pseudomonadati; Pseudomonadota; Alphaproteobacteria
Description: bacterial SSU rRNA
Rfam family: Bacterial small subunit ribosomal RNA
Source: RNAcentral
GCUGGCGGCAGGCCUAACACAUGCAAGUCGAGCGCCCUGUUUCGGCAGGGAGCGGCGGACGGGUGAGUAACGCGUGGGAACGUGCCCUUUAGUUCAGAAUAGCCACUGGAAACGGUGAGUAAUACUGGAUACGCCCUUCGGGGGAAAGAUUUAUCGCUAAAGGAUCGGCCCGCGUUGGAUUAGCUUGUUGGUGGGGUAAUGGCCUACCAAGGCGACGAUCUAUAGCUGGUCUGAGAGGAUGAUCAGCCACACUGGGACUGAGACACGGCCCAGACUCCUACGGGAGGCAGCAGUGGGGAAUAUUGGACAAUGGGGGCAACCCUGAUCCAGCCAUGCCGCGUGAGUGAAGAAGGCCCUAGGGUUGUAAAGCUCUUUCAGAUGUGAGGAUGAUGACAGUAGCAUCAGAAGAAGCACCGGCUAACUUCGUGCCAGCAGCCGCGGUAAUACGAAGGGUGCUAGCGUUGUUCGGAAUUACUGGGCGUAAAGGGCGUGUAGGCGGAUGAUCAAGCUAGAGGUGAAAGCCCAGGGCCCAACCCUGGAACUGCCUUUAGAACUGAUUGUCUAGAAUCCGUAAGGGGAGUGUGGAAUUCCUAGUGUAGAG